RNAcentral lists this ribosomal RNA (325 nucleotides) under uncultured Blautia sp. Its description in RNAcentral is "bacterial SSU rRNA". It matches the Rfam family "Bacterial small subunit ribosomal RNA", at positions 354 to 694 of the family's 1533-position model. The record is from RNAcentral. Lineage: Bacteria; Bacillati; Bacillota; Clostridia; Lachnospirales; Lachnospiraceae.
UGGGGGAAUAUUGCACAAUGGGGGGAAACCCUGAUGCAGCGACGCCGCGUGAAGGAAGAAGUAUCUCGGUAUGUAAACUUCUAUCAGCAGGGAAGAAUUAGGACGGUACCUGACUAAGAAGCCCCAGCUAACUACGUGCCAGCAGCCGCGGUAAUACGUAGGGGGCAAGCGUUAUCCGGAUUUACUGGGUGUAAAGGGAGCGUAGACGGAUGGACAAGUCUGAUGUGAAAGGCUGGGGCUCAACCCCGGGACUGCAUUGGAAACUGCCCGUCUUGAGUGCCGGAGAGGUAAGCGGAAUUCCUAGUGUAGCGGUGAAGUGCGUAGA